RNAcentral lists this ribosomal RNA (706 nucleotides) under uncultured bacterium. RNAcentral describes it as "bacterial SSU rRNA". It matches the Rfam family "Bacterial small subunit ribosomal RNA", at positions 8 to 731 of the family's 1533-position model. The record is from RNAcentral.
AGAGUUUGAUCCUGGCUCAGGAUAAACGCUGGCGGCGUGCAUGAGACAUGCAAGUCGAACGGACUUUCUCGGGCUUGCUCGGGAAAGUUAGUGGCGGACGGCUGAGUAACGCGUAGGUGACCUGUCCCGAAGUGGGGAAUAACUGCCCGAAAGGGUGGCUAAUACCGCAUGCGAUCGCUCAUUCAGUUGGGCGAUCAAAGCAGUAAUGCGCUUUGGGAGGGGCCUGCGUCCGAUUAGCUCGUUGGUGGGGUAAUGGCUCACCAAGGCGACGAUCGGUAGGUGGUCUGAGAGGACGAUCACCCAGACUGGGACUGAGACACGGCCCAGACUCCUACGGGAGGCAGCAGUCGGGAAUUUUGCUCAAUGGACGAAAGUCUGAAGCAGCAACGCCGCGUGAGGGAUGAAGGCCUUCGGGUUGUAAACCUCUUUUGUCAGGGACGAUUAUGACGGUACCUGGCGAAUAAGCCACGGCUAACUACGUGCCAGCAGCCGCGGUAAUACGUAGGUGGCAAGCGUUGUCCGGAUUUACUGGGCGUAAAGAGCGCGCAGGCGGUCGAAUAAGUCGAAUGUGAAAGCCCCCGGCUUAACUGGGGAGGGUCAUUCGAUACUGCUCGACUUGAAGGCCAGGAGAGGGUAGUGGAAUUCCCGGUGUAGUGGUGAAAUGCGUAGAUUCGGGAGGAACACCAGUGGCGAAGGCGACUAACUG